AUCCAGCUGACGAGUCCCAAAAAGGACGAAUCGCGCGUCCUGAAU
RNAcentral lists this non-coding RNA (45 nucleotides) under Schistosoma mattheei. The record is from RNAcentral. Lineage: Eukaryota; Metazoa; Platyhelminthes; Trematoda; Strigeidida; Schistosomatidae.